AUGUUGAUCAGGAGGGGUGUGGCGUACCGCAAAACGGAGGAAACAGAUUUGUGUUGGAGGCUACGGUCGAAACGGGGGUCAUGUUCAUCGGGAGGGGUGUGGCAUACCACAAAACGGGACUCCACAGGAUACUGUUCAUCUCCAUCGUCGACCUCCUCCAGCCUCCAUCCACCGUCGACCUCCUCCAGCCUCCACCUGCGACUGUUCAUCUAUGGGUUCCUGUUCAUCCAGCCUCCACUGCUCCUCCACCGGCUACUGUUCAACCAGCCCUCUCCACGGGGUCCUGUUCAACCAGCCAUCCACCGGCUACUGUUCAACCUUCCCUCCACGGGGUCCUGUUCAUCCAGCCUCCACAGGGUCCUGUUCAUCCACGCCCAGCCGGCUCGAUCAAUCGGGGUCCUGUUCAUCCAGCGGCAAUACCACAUGGUCAUGUUCAUCCAACCCCCACCGGUAACUGUUCAUCCAACCCCCCUCCCCCCAACAACGCUCACUGUUCAUCCAGAGGCAGCAUCAAUCGGCUUCAGUUAG
Molecule: ribosomal RNA, 528 nt
Filed under: Triticum aestivum (bread wheat)
Lineage: Eukaryota; Viridiplantae; Streptophyta; Magnoliopsida; Poales; Poaceae
Description: partial small subunit ribosomal RNA
Source: RNAcentral